ACGAACGCUGCCGGCUUGCUUACCAAUUGCAGUCCGACGGGAAAGCCCUUGCUUUGGUGGGGUGCUCGAGUGGCAACCGGGUAAGUAAACCGUGGUUACCCGCCCCUUGCCUUUGGGUUACUUUCGGAAACCUGGGCUAAUUCCCGGUAAGGGCUUCCUCCUGAUUGGUGGGGGUGGGAAAGUUCGGCGGUUGGGGAUGGGCUCGCGGCUUAUCAGCUUGUUGGUGGGGUAGUGGCUUACCAAGGCUUUGACGGGUAGCCGGCCUGAGAGGGUGACCGGCCACAUUGGGACUGAGAUACGGCCCAGACUCCUACGGGAGGCAGCAGUGGGGAAUAUUGCACAAUGGGCGGAAGCCUGAUGCAGCAACGCCGCGUGCGGGAUGACGGCCUUCGGGUUGUAAACCGCUUUCGCCUGUGACGAAGCGUGAGUGACGGUAAUGGGUAAAGAAGCACCGGCUAACUACGUG
Molecule: ribosomal RNA, 466 nt
Filed under: uncultured bacterium
Lineage: Bacteria
Description: partial 16S ribosomal RNA
Rfam family: Bacterial small subunit ribosomal RNA
Source: RNAcentral